RNAcentral lists this ribosomal RNA (460 nucleotides) under uncultured bacterium. RNAcentral describes it as "partial 16S ribosomal RNA". It matches the Rfam family "Bacterial small subunit ribosomal RNA", at positions 338 to 795 of the family's 1533-position model. The record is from RNAcentral.
CCUACGGGUGGCAGCAGUGAGGAAUAUUGGUCAAUGGGCGGAAGCCUGAACCAGCCAAGUAGCGUGCAGGAUGACGGCCCUACGGGUUGUAAACUGCUUUUAUACGGGAACAACGCGCCUUACGUGUAGGGCUCCGCAUGUACCGUAUGAAUAAGGACCGGCUAAUACCGUGCCAGCAGCCGCGGUAAUACGGAAGGUCCGGGCGUUAUCCGGGUUUAUUGGGUUUAAAGGGAGCGUAGGCCGCAUGUCAAGCGUGCUGUGAAAUGUCCGGGCUGAACCCGGGGCUGGCAGUGCAAACUGGCGGGCUGGAGUGGGCGAGAAGCAGGCGGAAUGCGUCGUGUAGCGGUGAAAUGCUUAGAUAUGACGAAGAACCCCGAUUGCGAAGGCAGCUUGCUGCAGCGGAACUGACGCUGAGGCUCGAAAGCGCGGGUAUCGAACAGGAUUAGAUACCCGUGUAGUC